This 310-nucleotide ribosomal RNA is filed under the name uncultured bacterium. RNAcentral describes it as "partial 16S ribosomal RNA". It matches the Rfam family "Bacterial small subunit ribosomal RNA", at positions 503 to 807 of the family's 1533-position model. The record is from RNAcentral.
AAGAGACAGCAGUCGCCGCGGGAAUACGAAGGGUGCAAGCGUUAAUCGGAAUUACUGGGCGUAAAGGGUGCGUAGGCGGUUGUUUAAGUCAGAUGUGAAAUCCCCGAGCUUAACUUGGGAACUGCAUUUGAAACUGGCAAGCUAGAGUCUUGUAGAGGGGGGUAGAAUUCCAGGUGUAGCGGUGAAAUGCGUAGAGAUCUGGAGGAAUACCGGUGGCGAAGGCGGCCCCCUGGACAAAGACUGACGCUCAGGUGCGAAAGCGUGGGGAGCAAACAGGAUUAGAUACCCCUGUAGUCCCUGUCUCUUAUAC